AAUUACACGGACAAUAUAAAUUUAAUUUUCUGAAAAAUCUAAGAACAAAUAUCUAAAUUAUUGGACACUUAUUAUUAUAUAUUUUUUUAAAAAAAUUAUCUUAUAUGAAAUGUUACAUGUAUAGAAACGCCCCAGUAUUUAUAGGCUCCUCAAUUAACUUCCAAAUAUUUUCUAUUCCACUAAACAUUAUUAUUUCAUGUGAACGUUUGAAAUGAACCAGUAUUUAUGGGCUCCUCAAUUAGCAUCCAAAUGUUUCCUAUUCUGCUAAACAUUAUUAUUUAUGGCCCCACUAAAGAAAUAUGUUCUAUACAGUUGAAGAAGUGGUAGGA
Molecule: long non-coding RNA, 329 nt
Filed under: Ananas comosus (pineapple)
Lineage: Eukaryota; Viridiplantae; Streptophyta; Magnoliopsida; Poales; Bromeliaceae
Description: long non-coding RNA (ACOM_LNC008641)
Source: RNAcentral